UAGUUCGUUGGUUAUUUGGUCAGAUCC
RNAcentral lists this non-coding RNA (27 nucleotides) under Bombyx mori (domestic silkworm). Lineage: Eukaryota; Metazoa; Arthropoda; Insecta; Lepidoptera; Bombycidae. The record is from RNAcentral.